GAAGAUGGCCUUCCGUAUUCGCCUUACAGGAGGAGGAUACAAACCACCUCAGACUGUUGUGGUAAAGAGCCACAGCAGGAAGCGCUGAGGAAAAGGCGGCGAAAAGCCAUCAGG
Molecule: non-coding RNA, 114 nt
Filed under: Citrobacter freundii
Lineage: Bacteria; Pseudomonadati; Pseudomonadota; Gammaproteobacteria; Enterobacterales; Enterobacteriaceae
Source: RNAcentral